Molecule: long non-coding RNA, 660 nt
Organism: Peromyscus eremicus (cactus mouse)
Lineage: Eukaryota; Metazoa; Chordata; Mammalia; Rodentia; Cricetidae
Exons: 3
Source: RefSeq, a predicted model, not a curated record
GCAAGCCAGAUCCUAGCCUUAGCCAAAUAAGGAGCACCUGCCAUCGGGAAGGCAGAAGCCGGAUGCCGAUGCCAUCCUUGCGGUGCGGCCAUGCACGGCUCUCUACAGCUAUACUGGCGGCCCAAAAACAAAUCUGUCUACAACUGCAUCUGGGGAAGUGGAAGACAUAUGACACAAUCCAGAGUUGAGGUCAAGUCAGACUUAGGGCUGGAAAAGCAAGUCCUGGCUGAAUAAGUGUUACAGAAAACCACCACCUUUUGAAGAAAACAGGCAUAAAAUACUUAACAGAGUGCCACCCAACACCAAAAGUUACAUCAGCUUUCCUUGGGAGUUUUCAAGGAGCUGGCAGAAAAGACCCCCAGUUUUCUUCAUUUGAGCAAAGUUUAGAGAGAUGCUACCUGGAGACCACUUCGCUGAUUUUCCCUGAAGACAGUUCAAGAUUUCUUUUCCUACAACCAGCUGUCCUUUGGAUGGACCCUGGACUGGUCUCUGCUUCAUUAUCCUGCCUUUGUUUCCCUUUGUUUAUUUGCAGUUCUGGGGACCAAGCCCAGGACUCCACACAUGACAGGUAAGUGUCCUACCACAGAGCUACAACCCCAGCCCUGUUAUUCACUGCUGGAAAGAGUCAUCCAUUAUCCUAAGUCUACUGUCUGUUUAGUA